ACUUUCGAUGGUAGGAUAGAGGCCUACCAUGGUGGUAACGGGUAACGGGGUGUUAGGGCACGACACCGGAGAGGGAGCCUGAGAAACGGCUACCACAUCCAAGGAUGGCAGCAGGCGCGCAAAUUACCCAAUCCCGACACGGGGAGGUAGUGACAAUAAAUAACAAUACGGGGUUCUUUCGGAUUUCGUAAUUGGAAUGAGUACAAUUUAAAUCUCUUAACGAGGAACAAUUGGAGGGCAAGUCUGGUGCCAGCAGCCGCGGUAAUUCCAGCUCCAAUAGCGUAUAUUAAAGUUGCUGCAGUUAAAAAGCUCGUAGUUGAAUUUCGGGACUGAUAUGUCGGUCGUGCCUCGGUACGUACUGGUAUUUUUGGUUUCUCCCUUCUGACGAACCUUGAUGUCAUUAAUUUGGUGUCUUGGGAAAUCAGGACUGUUACUUUGAAAAAAUUAGAGUGUUUAAAGCAGGCUCACGCUUGAAUACAUUAGCAUGGAAUAAUGAAAUAGGACGUUUGAUUCUAUUUUGUUGGUUUCUAGGAUCGACGUAAUGAUUAAUAGGGAUAGUUGGGGGCAUUAGUAUUCAAUUGUCAGAGGUGAAAUUCUUGGAUUUAUUGAAGACUAACUACUGCGAAAGCAUUUGCCAAGGAUGUUUUCAUUAAUCAAGAACGAAAGUUAGGGGAUCGAAGACGAUCAGAUACCGUCGUAGUCUUAACCAUAAACUAUGCCGACUAGGGAUCGGAUGAUGUUAAUUUUUUAAUGACUCAUUCGGCGCCUUACGGGAAACCAAAGUGUUUGGGUUC
RNAcentral lists this ribosomal RNA (794 nucleotides) under Glomus sp. Its description in RNAcentral is "SSU rRNA". It matches the Rfam family "Eukaryotic small subunit ribosomal RNA", at positions 318 to 1114 of the family's 1831-position model. The record is from RNAcentral. Lineage: Eukaryota; Fungi; Glomeromycota; Glomeromycetes; Glomerales; Glomeraceae.